AAAUUAUAUUACCCCUUGAUAGGAAGGUACACACACUCACACUACAUAACUAGGUUCCCCUGCAAACCUCUCCUCCUCUUGCAUGACAAGAGGUUACCUGUGCCACUCAGAGAGGCCAAGACUGAGUAUUUAGACCCACUGUUGAACCUGUGUGCUUCAGUGAUGAUGGCUUUAUAUUACUUCAUCUAUUGGCAGGGCUGGAAACUUAAAUCCUCAGGCACAAAGGAGCUGGUGGAGAAGGUGAGAGUGGAGAUGCAGAAAAUGCUGAAAAUAGGGUCUCAAAUGCUAAAUAUUUUUAAUGUUACAGACUUAGAAAACUUUCUGAACAACAUGGCACCAUGACAUGUUAAUAUGUUCUGAAGACUGGAAGUCCCAACCACACAUCAAAGAGGUGAUGUAGGAAGGAUCUAGAUUCAGGAAUGACUUGGAAAUCCACAAAGGAGCUUUCAUGCCAAUCCCCACCCCUAGGAAAUGUUCCCAGACCAGUAACCCAUCCCACACAGCACCCAGGAAAUUACCGCUAGAGUAAUUACUCAUAUAGCCUGACUGGUGAGCAACAGGAAGGGAGGGAAGCAGUAGACACGCUCCCUGUAGAUAGCAGGUUGAUUAAACUUGGACAUGAACAGUGGGACCCGAGUCUGUUCUUCCCUAUGUUCUAGUUGCAUGUCUGUGGCUGUUACAAAAACACUGUGAAUCCAUUAUUCAGGGGGAAGUCAAGGCAGAAGCACAAAGCAUCACACCUAAAGUCAAGAACGGAGAGAAUAAACUCACGAAUCCUUGCUUGCUUGCUCUCAGCUGCCUUGCUCCUGUUUUAUACUACUCAGGACCUUCUGCCUAGGGAAUGGUGUCACCCACAGUGGUCUGGGUCUUCCCACAUCCAUUAGAAAUCUAAACAAUCACCACAGAUGAGUCCAAAGGCCACCUAAACUAGACAAUCCCUCAGCAACACUCUCUUCUCAGGUGAGCAAACAGGCUCUCCUUCCAAACACAAAGAUGGAGCUUCUGUCUUUGAAAUUUGUGUGCAUUUUCCUCUGAGUUGAAAUUCAGAGAUAAUUCAAAAGGUGUUCUGCUUUCUUCAGAUGUGCACAUACAGGUACUCACAAAUGUAUGAACACAAGUACAUGCUCUUAGGCAUGUUCACUGCAGUAUAACUUAGACUCAUUAAAAAAAAAACUCAUGAAUUUUGUACAAUCACAGUGCCUAUUUUUAUUUUUAAUUAUUUAUUUUUGUUUAUCAUUGUUGUUAUUUCCUAUUAUUGUUAUUAGUUACUUGUUACGAUAAAUCUUUCUGCCAAAAGCUGCCGAGCCCCUCGGCCAUGUGUGCGCUUUACACCAGCCGCUGGCCUGAGUUAGGGUCCCAAUUAGUCCACAGAGAGACUUGUAUUA
This 1385-nucleotide long non-coding RNA is filed under the name Cricetulus griseus (Chinese hamster). RNAcentral describes it as "lncRNA (ENSCGRG00015032550.1)". Lineage: Eukaryota; Metazoa; Chordata; Mammalia; Rodentia; Cricetidae. The record is from RNAcentral.